CACCGCUUCAUAGCAGGACACUACAUUUACACCACAGUAUCAAACAUAUCAAGAAAUAUACAGUGUCAUCAUGUAGAAAAGUGUCCAAUGUGUGUGUGUGUGUGUGUGUGU
Molecule: long non-coding RNA, 111 nt
Organism: Melanotaenia boesemani (Boeseman's rainbowfish)
Lineage: Eukaryota; Metazoa; Chordata; Actinopteri; Atheriniformes; Melanotaeniidae
Exons: 3
Source: RefSeq, a predicted model, not a curated record